CCAAUAGCGUAUAUUAAAGUUGUUGCAGUUAAAAAGCUCGUAGUUGAAUUUUGGAUUCUGCGAUUUGGUCCAUCUUUUAGAUGAGUACUGAAUGUGUGGGGUCUAUCCGCCUGAUAAUACGUAAUGUUCUUUAUUGAAUGUUACGGGUAGUCAGGACUUUUACCUUGAAAAAAUUAGAGUGUUUAAAGCAGGCUUAUGCCGGAAUACAUUAGCAUGGAAUAAUAGAAUAGGACGAAGUUGUUUUAUUUUGUUGGUUUUUAGGACAACCGUAAUGAUUAAUAGGGAUAGUUGGGGGCAUUAGUAUUCAAUUGUCAGAGGUGAAAUUCUUGGAUUUAUUGAAGACUAACUACUGCGAAAGCAUUUGCCAAGGAUGUUUUCAUUAAUCAAGAACGAAAGUUAGGGGAUCGAAGACGAUCAGAUACCGUCGUAGUCUUAACCAUAAACUAUGCCGACUAGGGAUCGGGCGAUGUUGUUUCCAUGACUCGCUCGGCACCUUAUG
RNAcentral lists this ribosomal RNA (499 nucleotides) under uncultured Glomeromycotina. RNAcentral's name for it is "partial small subunit ribosomal RNA". It matches the Rfam family "Eukaryotic small subunit ribosomal RNA", at positions 591 to 1092 of the family's 1831-position model. The record is from RNAcentral. Lineage: Eukaryota; Fungi; Glomeromycota.